UACGUAGGGGGCAAGCGUUACUCGGAAUCACUGGGCGUAAAGCGCAGGUAGGCGGCUUGGUAAGUCUUUUGUGAAAGCUCCCGGCUCAACUGGGAGAGGUCAAUGGAAACUACCGGGCUAGAGUGUGGUAGGGGAUAGUGGAAUUCCUGGUGUAGCGGUGAAAUGCGUAGAUAUCAGGAGGAAUACCUAUGGCGAAAGCAGGGACCUGGGCCGUCACUGACGCUCAGCUGCGAAAGCUAGGGGAGCAAACAGG
Molecule: ribosomal RNA, 253 nt
Filed under: uncultured bacterium
Lineage: Bacteria
Description: partial 16S ribosomal RNA
Rfam family: Bacterial small subunit ribosomal RNA
Source: RNAcentral